RNAcentral lists this ribosomal RNA (593 nucleotides) under Alternaria brassicicola. RNAcentral's name for it is "eukaryotic LSU rRNA". It matches the Rfam family "Eukaryotic large subunit ribosomal RNA", at positions 1 to 597 of the family's 3401-position model. Lineage: Eukaryota; Fungi; Ascomycota; Dothideomycetes; Pleosporales; Pleosporaceae. The record is from RNAcentral.
UUGACCUCGGAUCAGGUAGGGAUACCCGCUGAACUUAAGCAUAUCAAUAAGCGGAGGAAAAGAAACCAACAGGGAUUGCCCUAGUAACGGCGAGUGAAGCGGCAACAGCUCAAAUUUGAAAUCUGGCUCUUUUAGAGUCCGAGUUGUAAUUUGCAGAGGGCGCUUUGGCUUUGGCAGCGGUCCAAGUUCCUUGGAACAGGACGUCACAGAGGGUGAGAAUCCCGUACGUGGUCGCUGGCUAUUGCCGUGUAAAGCCCCUUCGACGAGUCGAGUUGUUUGGGAAUGCAGCUCUAAAUGGGAGGUACAUUUCUUCUAAAGCUAAAUAUUGGCCAGAGACCGAUAGCGCACAAGUAGAGUGAUCGAAAGAUGAAAAGCACUUUGGAAAGAGAGUCAAACAGCACGUGAAAUUGUUGAAAGGGAAGCGCUUGCAGCCAGACUUGCUUGCAGUUGCUCAUCCGGGCUUUUGCCCGGUGCACUCUUCUGCAGGCAGGCCAGCAUCAGUUUGGGCGGUAGGAUAAAGGUCUCUGUCACGUACCUCUCUUCGGGGAGGCCUUAUAGGGGAGACGACAUACUACCAGCCUGGACUGAGGUCC